Non-coding RNA from Candidatus Wildermuthbacteria bacterium, 87 nucleotides. NCBI's taxonomy places the organism in Bacteria, Candidatus Wildermuthiibacteriota. The record is from Rfam.
GGUGAGGUGGCUGAGCGGCCGAAAGCGAUUGCUUGGAGAGCAAUUAUGCAGGAAACUGCAUCGUGGGUUCGAAUCCCACCCUCACCG